Oreochromis aureus is the source of this 396-nucleotide long non-coding RNA. The record is from Ensembl. Lineage: Eukaryota; Metazoa; Chordata; Actinopteri; Cichliformes; Cichlidae.
UCUUUGAAAUGGACCGUUUGAUGCUCAGUUUGUACAGCUUGUACAGCUACUUUGUAAACAGAAUAAAAUCAGAUCCAGAUAGCAACAAGAGGCGACACAGAAUUUGCAAGGUCAUCUUAGAUGAGAAGAAACGCUUGGCGGCUGCUGUUGACGACUACAACAAGCUUGCUGAACCAACAAAGCAAAUCGUAUCCAGUGAUGCCCUCAUCCAGACCGACGUUUGGCCCUGGCAGAGCACAAGUGAACCUGCUGCUGACCUCCAGACAAAGAGAAAGGUCUUUGAGAAGGUGAUGGCUGUGAGGCGCCUGAGAGAGGAGGAGAUGAUCCUUUGCAGGGAGAUGUGGCAUCACUGGACAGUGUUGCGAAUGCGAUCUGUGAUGUUGGGGACAAUCUCCU